CUUCGGGUUUUAGUGGCGAACGGGUGAGUAACACGUAAGCAACCUACCCUAAAGACGAGGAUAACCAUUGGAAACAGUGGCUAAGACUGGAUAGGAAGAUAAAAGGCAUCUUUUAUCUUUUAAAAGACCUAGUAAUAGGUAUGCUUUAGGAGGGGCUUGCGCCAUAUUAGUUAGUUGGUAGGGUAAUGGCCUACCAAGACGAUGAUGUGUAGCUGGACUGAGAGGUUGAACAGCCACAUUGGGACUGAGACACGGCCCAAACUCCUACGGGAGGCAGCAGUAGGGAAUUUUCGGCAAUGGAGGAAACUCUGACCGAGCAACGCCGCGUGAAUGACGAAGUACUUCGGUAUGUAAAGUUCUUUUAUCAAGGAAGAAAAGCAAAUGGCGAACUAUUUGUUUGCCGGUACUUGAUGAAUAAGCCCCGGCUAAUUAUGUGCCAGCAGCCGCGGUAAGACAUAAGGGGCAAGUGUUAUCCGGAAUUAUUGGGCGUAAAGGGUGCGUAGGCGGUCUAGUAAGUCAGUGGUGUAAUGGCAACGCUUAACGUUGUCCGGCUAUUGAAACUGCUAAACUUGAGUUAGAUAGAGGCGAGUGGAAUUCCAUGUGUAGCGGUAAAAUGCGUAAAUAUAUGGAGGAACACCAGAGGCGUAGGCGGCUCGCUGGGUCUUAACUGACGCUGAGGCACGAAAGCGUGGGGAGCAAACAGGAUUAGAUACCCUGGUAGUCCACGCCGUAAACGAUGAGUACUAAGUGUCGGGUUAAACCGGUACUGAAGUUAACACAUUAAGUACUCCGCCUGAGUAGUACGUACGCAAGUAUGAAACUUAAAGGAAUUGACGGGACUCCGCACAAGCGGUGGAUCAUGUUGUUUAAUUCGAAGAUACCCGAAAAACCUUACCAGGUCUUGACAUGUUUUUGCAAAAUGAUAGUAAUAUCGUGGAGGUUACCAGAAACACAGGUGGUGCAUGGUUGUCGUCAGCUCGUGUCGUGAGAUGUUAGGUUAAGUCCUAAAACGAGCGAAACCCUUAUCGUUAGUUGCCAGCACGUUAUGGUGGGGACUUUAACGAGACUGCCAAUGAUAAAUUGGAGGAAGGUGAGGAUCACGUCAAAUCAGCAUGCCCCUUAUGACCUGGGCUACAAACGUGAUACAAUGGCUGUUACAAAGGGUAGCUGAAACGCAAGUUCUUGGCCAAUCCCCAAAAACAGUCCCAGUCCGGAUUGAAGUCUGCAACUCGACUUCAUGAAGUUGGAAUCGCUAGUAAUCGCGAAUCAGCAUGUCGCGGUGAAUACGUUCUCGGGGUUUGUACACACCGCCCGUCAAACCACGAAAGUUGGCAAUACCCCAAAACGGUAGCCUAACUCGUUUAUUCGAGAGGGCGCCGUCUAAGGUAGGGUCGAUGAUUGGGGUUAAGUCGUAACAAGGUAUCCCUACCGGAAGGUGGGGAUGGAUCACCUCCUUUCU
Molecule: ribosomal RNA, 1459 nt
Filed under: Alfalfa witches'-broom phytoplasma
Lineage: Bacteria; Bacillati; Mycoplasmatota; Mollicutes; Acholeplasmatales; Acholeplasmataceae
Also listed under: 1 other name
Description: 16S ribosomal RNA
Rfam family: Bacterial small subunit ribosomal RNA
Source: RNAcentral